Molecule: long non-coding RNA, 2471 nt
Organism: Nerophis ophidion (straightnose pipefish)
Lineage: Eukaryota; Metazoa; Chordata; Actinopteri; Syngnathiformes; Syngnathidae
Exons: 2
Source: RefSeq, a predicted model, not a curated record
GACACAUGGUUGAAAUCUCUCCGAUCAGUCAACGUCGACCACGUUUGACAGAAUAAUUUGACUUCAGUGAGCCGCGCUUGUGAAGAACGCUCUAGACGUUCCAGGUCCGCAAGAGACGCUUCCAGGCACGGAUGAGGAAUUUUUAGCUUUGACGCGAGCUCGGGAAAAAGCAAUCCUUUUUUUUUUUUUUUUUUUACAAGUAGAAAAUCUGAAAGACCGUAACCGAGGCGACGGCCCAAACAUCCCUCUAACUCCUCACGGACAACUUUUACUGGUGCUUUUUUUGCGAGAGCUUGUUAAAGCGAGUGCUCAACUUUUUUGACUGACGGACGGAAGGGAGGACGGGGAACGGGUCGGACCCCAUUCCUGAACGGACUCAUGCGUCAAGGCUGCAACCAGACCUGCAACAAAAUACCUUUUGUUUCAAUAAAGCGCAAAAGUAUUGAUUACUACCGUAACCGCAAGUUGGUCGUAGUGGUAAAACAAGGACUUAAAACGUGUUUGCAACCCAAAAUAAUGAAAGAGCCAUAGUGGACAAAAAAUAAAACCGUCUGGAGCCACAAAAAAUUAAAAAAUAUCUAUUUAAAGGCCUAAUGAAACCCACUACUACCGACCACGCAGUCUGAUAGUUUAUAUAUCAAUGAUGAAAUAUUAACAUUGCAACACAUGCCAAUAUGGUCUUUUUAGUUUACUAAAUUGCAAUUUUAAAAUUUCACGCGAAGUAUCCUGCUGAAAACGUCGCGGUAUGACGUCACGGAUUGUAGCGGACAUUUUGUUCCAGCUCGAUCCUAUCUAUAAGUCGUCUGCUUUAAUCGCAUAAUUACACAGUAUUCUAAACAUCUGUGUUGCUGGAUCUUUUGGCAAUUUGUUUAAUUAAUAAUGGAGACGUCAAAGAAGAAAGAUGUAGGUGGGAAGCGGUGUAUUGCAACACAAAUAAUAAUGAUAAUAAUAAUGGAUUACAUUUAUAUCGCGUUUUUCUAUUGUUGGAUACUCAAAGCGCUCACAGAGAAGUUGGAACCCAUCAUUCAUCCACACCUGGUGGUGGUAAGCUACAUCUGUAGCCACAGCUGCCCUGGGGUAGACUGAUAGAAGCGUGGCUGCUAGUUUGCGCCUACGGCCCCUCCGACCACCACCAAUCAUUCAUUCAUCAUUCAUCAUUCAUUCACCAGUGAGCGGCAUCGGGGGCAAGGGUGAAGUGUCCUGCCCAAGGACACAACGGCAGCGCUUUUUUGGAUGUCAAUAGGUGGGAAGCGAACCUGCAACCCUCAGGUUUCUGGCACGGCCGCUCUACCCACUAUGCCAUGCCGCCCCAAACACAGCCGGGGUUUCCUUGUUUACGUUCCCGAAAGAUGACGGUGAAGCUUUACUUUGGAACAGAGCGAACAUGGUUCCCUACCGCAUGUCAACCGGCAGGUUUCGGUGAGGAAAUUGUGGUAAUAAGUCGGCUCUUACCGUCGACAUUAGCGGAGCUUGCGUCGUUCCUCGUGCACCUGUCAAAAAGGCAGCUGGGGACUCUUUUGCAUCCUCCGACCGGCCGCCCCUGAACGUGGGAUGCUUCCACCGUGGAGGAGGGGGGAAAAAAAGCUCAGCCCUGUUGCGAUCCUUGACUUGGAUCUUCACAUGUUGUUUAUUUUUCCAUCUUUGUUUCAUUCUCCGUCUGACCGGUUUAUUUCCUGUUUAGUCUGUCACCAUGGUAGCUCAUUAGUUCACCUGCCCCUUGUUAUCUACGCACACCUGUUUCUUCUAAUCACCUCCCUUAUUUAAACUCGCCCCUUUUCGUUAUUCAUUCUCGGAUCCUAAUUUGCCUACGUGCAACCGUGACGACUCUCAUCCUUCUACUGUAUGUAUUUUCUCGCUAGCUCUCACGCUAUGCCACUUGUUUAUUCCAGUUUUCAUAUGGACGAUUUGUUUUCUCGUCUGUGCUCUCGAGCCAAGUUUUAGUCUCCCAGUGUUUUAUCCUAGCUUUCACGCUAGCGUCUUUUGUUUGCCUUCUCUUCACACCAGUGUUUUUGUUCCUAGCCUUUUUAUUAUUUAAUAAAUCCAUUUAUAUCUUACCUCUGCUGUGUUCUGCUUCGACGCAUCCUUGGAAGAACCACACCGGCAUUACCAUGCCGAAGAAGAGUCCUCACAAGCCCGGCCCCAACGGCUGCCUUCACUACGCCUCGUCGAGACACGUGGUUUCCCUCAGAGACACUGGCGGUCACAACACCCGUGGCCACACCCCUCCGACUUUCAGAAAGGGGAAAGAACACGUCCUCCCCCCACCGGGAGGGCUCGGAGGAGACGAUUGGCGCAGUCCAGACAGAACGAAGGUCAAUACGGAGGCACACUUCCUGCUCGGGCUCUUUUAGUCAAUAGAGCCAUCUGGCAUCGCUAUGGAAACCGAGAACAGCGGCUCCAGGUGAUGAAAAGAUGACGGGUCACAGUGUGCUAAAAUCUUGUAGUCUUUUAUUAAAGUCUGUCUAAAAUUG